UCCUUCCGCUUCUCGGCCCACCCUCCAUACAAAUGGAAAACCCUAAUAAGAAACCCUAAGAAACCCUUCUCCCCCGCCACCGGCCACCACCCCGACCACGAGCAAGACAACCGGACAACGGAAGCGGCGAUGGGAUGCACGGCGUCCACGCGACGUGCGGGGCGGGGCUCGCUCGUGUUCGAGGUCUCAGGGUACGGCGGAGUUAGCCUCGACGUACAAUCAUCGGAAGUAUUCACCGUCGGCGCUUACGACUGGCAGAUUCGUUUCUAUGAGGAAGGAGUGUUUGGGCAUUCCGGAGGCUAUGUGGCGGUCUAUCUCUUUUUAGUCAGCAAGAAGGCCAAGGUGAGGGCAACCUUCGAGCUCAGUUUGGUGGACAUCACUGGAUCAACGCCGCCUCGUACGAUGAGGACGGUCGCCGCAGAAUUCGACUCUGGCGACCGGACGUGCUUCGGCCAUCCCGAGUUCAUGAGGAAGAGCGACCUCGAGGCGUCGCCUUACCUUCGCGGCGGCGAUCGCCUCACAAUUGAGUGUACCAUCACUAUCUGCACGGAAGCGCCCAAAUCAUUUGUUGAGGUGCCGUUGCCGCCAUCCGACAUCACGGAUCACCUCAGGAAGCUGUGGCAAGGGAAAGAGGGCACCGAUGUCACCUUCGAGGUUCAAGGGGAGGCUUUUCCUGCCCACAAGACAGUGCUCGCGAUGCGGUCACCGGUGUUUAAGGCAGAGUUGUACGGUGCCUUGAGGGAAAAUGAUAUGGGUCGCGUUAUCAUCGGCGACAUGCAACCUGCAGUCUUCGAGGCCCUGCUCCAUUUUAUAUACACCGAUUCGUUGCCCACCAUGCAUGAUCUUUACCAAGAUCAAGAUGAGUACAAAGAGAUUAUUGGACAUUUGCUUGUAGCCGCGGAUCGCUAUGCCAUGGAAAGACUGAAGAUCAUAUGUGAAAGCAUCCUUUGCAAGAACAUAGAUUCGAAGACCGUGGUGACUACACUGCCUUUGGCUGAUCAGCAUCACUGCAACAAGUUGACUGAUGCUUGCAUUGAAUUUAUUGCCUCUUUGGGUAAAGUGGAUGAUAUAAUAGCAAGCCAGGGAUAUGAUGAGCUCAAAAGAACCUGUCCUUUGGCUUUACUGGAACUGUGGGAGAAGGCAACUAGGCUGUACAUGAUAUAGUCUUCAUUUCACAUUGGCAUGUGUGUUAAGUCACAUACAUAUCUUGCUACUUGUUUGAUGAAGGAUUAGUUUAUUUUAAUAUAUCUGAAGCUUUGGUGGAAAACAGUAUUACUCUGCUAAUGUUUUUCGUUUGUCAAGAUGUUGCAUACUUAUCCUUUUAGCGCAAAUGGCUAGUGUAUGCUACUCACUUCAAUGAUGAUAUCUGCCGUAACGAAUAAGCAGCAAAAUGCGACAAGAGUGGGACAGGAGUGUGUUAAUGUGAUUAUAUGGGAACAUUUCGUCAUAAUAUGAAAUUCGAAACGGGAGAAUGAAUGCCACAUUUUCGAACUCGUGUUGUAAAAUAAUAGGGGUGCAUUUGAAACAAUAAUUCUUGCACUGGAAGGUGUUCAAUUUCCUUUGCCAGGUACUUUUCUGUUCUUGCAUCCUCCAAUUGGUUUCAGUUUUUAUUUUACUUAUUACCUGAAAAGUUGAGACUGAAUCCAUAAAAAGUUGACCCAUCGGUAAGCUUUUAAUUCUUUUACAAAUAUAAAAUGAAAUAAGUAAUCAAUCUAACCUAUAAAAUGAUUGAGUACCACCACAUCAUCCAUCUAUACUGUUAUAUAAACAUCAUCGGUACAUCACAGUAUUGGGCAACUGGCCUAUAUCAUGCUAUUACUUUGAAUGAAACACAUUUGUACUAUAUGACAGUAACUAAUUGGAAGAGUGCAGUAUGUUAAUGCACCUGCAUAUCCUUGAGGAAUAAAAUAUCGAAUAAAAGUUGACAUUUGAAAGUACCCCUUGUGUUGUAAAUUAAUCAUUUUGAUACAGAAGGAACGCAAUAAUGAAGAAGCAUGUAAAAAACUGGGGAAAGUAUUGUUCGUAACAGGUUAUAUGCAGCCCUACCGUCUACAGGAACGCAUCAAAGCAAACUUUGGAACUUGGUGCAUGUCAGGCAAGUCGGGAUUUAGUUGUUAUUUACAGAGGUGAUUUCUGUUCCCUUUAAUUUGUAGGAAUUUGGGGCAGGGAAGCAACUGAAUAUCUUUUUCAAAAGUAUUCUCAAUCUGAUUUGUAUGUGACGAGAUUAUUAAUCAGUUUGAUUGAUUGAGAUAUUUUUUGUAUUUGCCGCAGCAUGUAUGUACCAAGCAGGAUUGCAAGUCAUUCUCACCUUAGGAUAGUAUUCAUACCUAUUAGCAAGUCUACAUGGAUCAUUUAAUGUUGCAAUUGUGUGCUGACCCAAAACCCUAGAAAUAGUUCAACCAUUUUCCUCAAAGGCGUAUUAUUACAUCUAAGGCAAAAUCAAUUGAUUAGUUUUACUAUUUCUAACGUUUCUAAGUAGUGUUGAACCAUCUCCACAGGAGCUUGACAAUUUAGUGCUACCAGCCAUGUUUCACAGUACUAACACAAAGGUCAAUGCAGAAGUCUUUUAUAUAAUUAUUCACCUUGAGGAACACAUAGAAUUUGUUGCGAGAUGGAACAAUAAGUGUAGCUUAUAGUGACAUCAAAGAUUGCAGCUGUAUUUCACAAUAUUUUGAUGCCCAGAAAAUCUACUUGCUUUUGAUAGUACUGUAAGACCGCAUGAUACAGUGGUUCUCUUAGGUGUAUAUGAAAUUAGUUCAGUUAAAAUUAGAGGUCUAUGAUUCACCACGUUUUCCAGCGAUUAGAUAUAAAUGUUUUAUUGAAGUCUAUUGAAAGUUACUAAUGACAUCUGGAAGUCUGCACCUCCCUCUUUUUUCAGACCUAAGUUGUUUUCUCUGAAAGUCCAGCAUAAUACUCUGAAAAGAAGGUCAGGUUUUCUCCCUUUAGUCAAGUUACUCUGACUUGGUUUAAUUUUAAAAUAGUAGAUAUAUUCCUUCCUAAUUUUGUCAAGUUACCCUCCUAAUCUACCAUGCAGUUCCAUGUUUCAACUUGUUGCGUAAAUAUUUUUCUCUUUGUUUGACCAGAUGUUCACUGAAUAAUAGUCGGUCAUUGGUUAUUUGUUUGUUUGUGUGCAGUUUGCUUUUUUAAACCCAACAUUUAAACAUGAAACUGAAAUAUUAAGUUUAUCUGAAUAACAUUUGGUCACUGAACUAUUCCUCGUUCACUAUAAUUUUGUCAAAGUUUUAUGUAAUAGGUUUAAAAAAUAUGUUCAAAAAAUUAGCAUACAACUUGAGAGAAACCUAUCUUUUAGUUUUGGUUAUUACAAGGAGACAGAAAAGAGAUGACAUAGGCAUAUAGCUGGGAGGAGAGAGAAAUUAUGUGAUUUGGCACAGCAGACUAGCACAGAACCGAGAGAAGGGGGUUGUCAAGUGAACGGUUCUCAGAGUUCACAUGGUUAAAUGAACCAAAUCAAAGUCCAAGAUUGUUAUCUGAACCCUAAAACGAUUUCAAGGGGUGAUAUGGACUUCUCGACUACUAGAGAAUGUGCCUUCAACUUGCAGGGUCAAUGGACAUGCACCUUUGAUUUAACAUUUGAGAUUUUAAAUGCUCUCUGA
This is an RNA transcript of Triticum aestivum (bread wheat), 3614 nucleotides long. It is a transcript of the gene named BTB/POZ and MATH domain-containing protein 2, with no coding region annotated. Lineage: Eukaryota; Viridiplantae; Streptophyta; Magnoliopsida; Poales; Poaceae. The record is from RefSeq and is a predicted model, not a curated record. The transcript has 2 exons.